Molecule: non-coding RNA, 310 nt
Organism: Pelobates cultripes (western spadefoot toad)
Lineage: Eukaryota; Metazoa; Chordata; Amphibia; Anura; Pelobatidae
Source: the annotation of a GenBank genome assembly
CGAAGAUCAUUUGUUCGUUUAUUAGUCCUGUAUAUAAGAUGCACAUCAGGACACAGCUCUAUUAUGUCUCUGAUGAAGUGGGGCUGACACCCACGAAACGCGUAAGACAAGCAGUGAGCAGGAUACGAAUACAGUUUGAAGCCGGCAGAAGGAACUCCUCUUCUCCCCGCACAUCAUCUAUGAUCUGGGGACCGACGGACUGUCAGUAUCUACCAUCCAAAGUGAGGUUUGGGACGCACGCCAACCUCACAGACAGCCGUCAAGUACAGCAAUUUCUCUUUGAUACAAAGUAUCCACUGUAAUCCUAAGC